CCUACGGGAGGCAGCAGUGGGGAAUAUUGGGCAAUGGGCGCAAGCCUGACCCAGCAACGCCGCGUGAAGGAAGAAGGCUUUCGGGUUGUAAACUUCUUUUAAGAGGGAAGAGCAGAAGACGGUACCUCUUGAAUAAGCUCCGGCUAACUACGUGCCAGCAGCCGCGGUAAUACGUAGGGAGCGAGCGUUGUCCGGAUUUACUGGGUGUAAAGGGCGUGCAGCCGGGAGUACAAGUCAGAUGUGAAAUCCCGCGGCUCAACCGCGGAACUGCAUUUGAAACUGUAUUUCUUGAGUACUGGAGAGGCAGACGGAAUUCCUAGUGUAGCGGUGAAAUGCGUAGAUAUUAGGAGGAACACCAGUGGCGAAGGCGGUCUGCUGGACAGCAACUGACGGUGAGGCGCGAAAGCGUGGGGAGCAAACAGGAUUAGAUACCCGAGUAGUC
RNAcentral lists this ribosomal RNA (442 nucleotides) under uncultured bacterium. RNAcentral's name for it is "partial 16S ribosomal RNA". It matches the Rfam family "Bacterial small subunit ribosomal RNA", at positions 338 to 795 of the family's 1533-position model. The record is from RNAcentral.